GAUAAGAACGCAGCGAAAUGCGAUAAGUAAUGUGAAUUGCAGAAUUCAGUGAAUCAUCGAAUCUUUGAACGCACAUUGCGCCCGCCAGUAUUCUGGCGGGCAUGCCUGUUCGAGCGUCAUUACAACCCUCAGGCCCCCGGGCCUGGCGUUGGGGAUCGGCGGAAGCCCCCUGCGGGCACAACGCCGUCCCCCAAAUACAGUGGCGGUCCCGCCGCAGCUUCCAUUGCGUAGUAGCUAACACCUCGCAACUGGAGAGCGGCGCGGCCACGCCGUAAAACACCCAACUUCUGAAUGUUGACCUCGAAUCAGGUAGGAAUACCCGCUGAACUUAAGCAUAUCAAUAAGCGGAGGA
RNAcentral lists this unclassified non-coding RNA (352 nucleotides) under soil metagenome. RNAcentral describes it as "partial contains 5.8S ribosomal RNA, internal transcribed spacer 2, and large subunit ribosomal RNA". The stretch from base 4 to 119 matches the Rfam family "5.8S ribosomal RNA", at positions 39 to 154 of the family's 154-position model. The record is from RNAcentral.